AACCACGUGGCUCGUGCUGAACCCCGGCUCCCCUUCUGGGCACCGGCAUUUUGGAGGGUGAGGGCAGACAACACCACGUGACCAGCCCCCAGCCGGGGCUGUCCUCCACCCCCACCUUCAGCAGCAGUUCCCCUAAGUAUUUAAGUGAAGGGGUCCAGAGGUAAGAAAGGAAGCAGAAACAAACAGAUGGAACCAGCUGGGACCAGGAUGGCAACGAAUGCGACCUCCAACCGACCCCGAGUCUCAUCACGUGUUGAAUUUACUAUAUCGGCAUAUUAGGUGACACACCCACCGGCGGCCAUGGCUGGACAUGAAGGACCAGAAACGGGUAAAAGGAGGUGGUACCCCAGCCCCUUGGAAGAAGCCCCGCCCCUUCCCCGGAAGGCCUCUUCAUCCCAUCACUAGCCUCCCUCCUCCUCCCUUUGUCUUUACUCUUUAAAAUUAAACCACUCUCUCCAGGAGGGCGAGAAGGUGAUCUGUGAA
Long non-coding RNA from Lagenorhynchus albirostris (white-beaked dolphin), 483 nucleotides. RefSeq lists it as uncharacterized. The transcript has 2 exons. NCBI's taxonomy places the organism in Eukaryota, Metazoa, Chordata, Mammalia, Artiodactyla, Delphinidae. The record is from RefSeq and is a predicted model, not a curated record.